Molecule: ribosomal RNA, 254 nt
Filed under: uncultured bacterium
Lineage: Bacteria
Description: partial 16S ribosomal RNA
Rfam family: Bacterial small subunit ribosomal RNA
Source: RNAcentral
UACGGGGGGAGCAAGCGUUGUUCGGAUUUACUGGGCGUAAAGGGCGCGUAGGCGGCCAGCACAAGUCAGUUGUGAAAUCUCCGAGCUUAACUCGGAACGGUCAACUGAUACUGUGCGGCUAGAGUGCGGAAGGGGCAACUGGAAUUCUUGGUGUAGCGGUGAAAUGCGUAGAUAUCAAGAGGAACACCUGCGGCGAAGGCGGGUUGCUGGGCCGACACUGACGCUGAGGCGCGAAAGCUAGGGGAGCGAACAGG